Long non-coding RNA from Cololabis saira (Pacific saury), 293 nucleotides. RefSeq lists it as uncharacterized. The record is from RefSeq and is a predicted model, not a curated record. Lineage: Eukaryota; Metazoa; Chordata; Actinopteri; Beloniformes; Belonidae. The transcript has 3 exons.
UCAUGUACAAUGCAAAAUAGUCUUGAAUGCAGGCAAAAACUCAAAGCAUCACUUCAAAGUGAUUUUAAUAGGCUUGAGAAUAAAAACAAAUCAGCUGCUCAUGUAAUGAGCCUCUUGCAGUCUAAUGUUGAUGGCUACAAACAACGAACACAGCGAUCCGUGCAGACACACACGGCUCAUAUUACAGCAAGAAAAAAGCAAAUGGAAGAAAGCAAGGAUGCACUAAAAACUGCACUGGAGCUGAACAAACGGUUGGCAAAUGACUACAGACGUUUAAGGAAGACCCUCCCGGA